AGGACGUGGAGCUGCUCGAGGUGGUGGU
This 28-nucleotide small RNA is filed under the name Bombyx mori (domestic silkworm). RNAcentral's name for it is "piRNA piR-bmo-1861587". Lineage: Eukaryota; Metazoa; Arthropoda; Insecta; Lepidoptera; Bombycidae. The record is from RNAcentral.